AGAAUCAACGCUGGCGGCGUGCCUCAGACAUGCAAGUCGUACGAUUAAAGCUCUCUUCGGAGAGUGCAUAAAGUGGCGUACGGGUGAGUAACACGUAAGUAAUCUACCUUUGAGUGGGGAAUAACAGUCGGAAACGACUGCUAAUACCGCAUAAUGCAGCGGCUCGACAUCGAGACAGUUGUUAAAGAAUUUAUUCGCUUAAAGAGGAGCUUGCGGCAGAUUAGCUAGUUGGUAAGGUAAUGGCUUACCAAGGCUACGAUCC
RNAcentral lists this ribosomal RNA (262 nucleotides) under uncultured bacterium. RNAcentral's name for it is "partial small subunit ribosomal RNA". It matches the Rfam family "Bacterial small subunit ribosomal RNA", at positions 26 to 282 of the family's 1533-position model. The record is from RNAcentral.